UACGUAGGUAGCAAGCGUUGUCCGGUAUCAUUGGGCGUAAAGCGCGCGCAGGCGGCCUCUUAAGACUGAUGUGAAAGCCCCCGGCUCAACCGGGGAGGGCCAUUGGAAACUGGGAGGCUUGAGCCUAGGAGAGGAGAGGGGAAUUCCGCGUGUAGCGGUGAAAUGCGUAGAGAUGUGGAGGAACACCAGUGGCGAAGGCGACUCUUUGGCCUAUAACUGACGCUGAGGCGCGAAAGCGUGGGGAGCAAACAGG
This 253-nucleotide unclassified non-coding RNA is filed under the name uncultured Caryophanales bacterium. RNAcentral's name for it is "uncultured Bacillales bacterium contains 16S-23S intergenic spacer region". It matches the Rfam family "Bacterial small subunit ribosomal RNA", at positions 524 to 776 of the family's 1533-position model. The record is from RNAcentral. Lineage: Bacteria; Bacillati; Bacillota; Bacilli; Caryophanales.